CUCGUUCUAUUUAUAUUUAUAAGUCGUAAUGACUCUCGGCAACGGAUAUCUCGGCUCUUGCAUCGAUGAAGAACGUAGCGAAAUGCGAUACUUGGUGUGAAUUGCAGAAUCCCGUGAACCAUCGAGUCUUUGAACGCAAGUUGCGCCCAAAGUCGUUAGGCUGA
This 164-nucleotide ribosomal RNA is filed under the name Gesnouinia arborea. RNAcentral describes it as "5.8S ribosomal RNA". The stretch from base 31 to 164 matches the Rfam family "5.8S ribosomal RNA", at positions 1 to 132 of the family's 154-position model. From Rfam's summary of the family: 5.8S ribosomal RNA (5.8S rRNA) is a component of the large subunit of the eukaryotic ribosome. It is transcribed by RNA polymerase I as part of the 45S precursor that also contains 18S and 28S rRNA. Functionally, it is thought that 5.8S rRNA may be involved in ribosome translocation. The record is from RNAcentral. Lineage: Eukaryota; Viridiplantae; Streptophyta; Magnoliopsida; Rosales; Urticaceae.